Molecule: ribosomal RNA, 486 nt
Filed under: uncultured bacterium
Lineage: Bacteria
Description: partial 16S ribosomal RNA
Rfam family: Bacterial small subunit ribosomal RNA
Source: RNAcentral
GAUGAACGCUGGCGGCGUGCCUAAUACAUGCAAGUCGAACGCUGGAGAUCUAGCUUGCUAGAUCAAAGGAGUGGCGAACGGGUGAGUAAUACAUAAGCAACCUACCCACGAAGACUGGGAUAAUCUCUGGAAACGGGGACUAAUACCGGAUAGGUAAUCGGAAGGCAUCUUCUGGUUAUUAAAGGUUAAAAACACUGGUGGAUGGGCUUAUGGCGCAUUAGUUAGUUGGUGAGGUAACGGCCCACCAAGACGAUGAUGCGUAGCCGGCCUGAGAGGGUGAACGGCCACAUUGGGACUGAGACACGGCCCAGACUCCUACGGGAGGCAGCAGUAGGGAAUUUUCGGCAAUGGGGGCAACCCUGACCGAGCAACGCCGCGUGAGUGAAGACGGCCUUCGGGUUGUAAAGCUCUGUUGUAAGGGAAGAACGGUAGAUAGAGAAUAUCUAAGUGACGGUACCUUACCAGAAAGCCACGGCUAACUACGUG